GAUGAACGCUGGCGGCGUGCCUAAUACAUGCAAGUCGAGCGAACAGAUGAGGAGCUUGCUCCUCUGACGUUAGCGGCGGACGGGUGAGUAACACGUGGAUAACCUACCUAUAAGACUGGGAUAACUUCGGGAAACCGGAGCUAAUACCGGAUAAUAUAUUGAACCGCAUGGUUCAAUAGUGAAAGACGGUUUUGCUGUCACUUAUAGAUGGAUCCGCGCCGCAUUAGCUAGUUGGUAAGGUAACGGCUUACCAAGGCAACGAUGCGUAGCCGACCUGAGAGGGUGAUGGGCAACACUGGAACUGAGACACGGUCCAGACUCCUACGGGAGGCAGCAGUAGGGAAUCUUCCGCAAUGGGCGAAAGCCUGACGGAGCAACGCCGCGUGAGUGAUGAAGUUCUUCGGAUCGUAAAACUCUGUUAGUAGGGAAGAACAAAUGUGUAAGUAACUAUGCACGUCUUGACGGUACCUAAUCAGAAAGCCACGGCUAACUACGUG
RNAcentral lists this ribosomal RNA (497 nucleotides) under uncultured bacterium. Its description in RNAcentral is "partial 16S ribosomal RNA". It matches the Rfam family "Bacterial small subunit ribosomal RNA", at positions 28 to 507 of the family's 1533-position model. The record is from RNAcentral.